Molecule: ribosomal RNA, 1623 nt
Filed under: metagenome
Description: bacterial LSU rRNA
Rfam family: Bacterial large subunit ribosomal RNA
Source: RNAcentral
ACUGUAUAGAAGAGAGAAUGCCGGAAUGAGUAGCGAGAGGAAGGUGAGAAUCCUUCCGGCCGAAUAUCUAAGGUUUCCAGAGUAAAGCUGAUCUGCUCUGGGUAAGUCGGGGCCUAAGGCCAGGUCGAAAGACGUAACCGAUGGACAACAGGUUGAAAUUCCUGUACCUUAAGUAAACAGAACUGUGGGGACACGUGUGGAGAGCACAAGCCGGAAAUGGAAAAGCCGGUGCAAGCGAGGUAGGAGUACAGUAGGCAAAUCCGCUGUACAAUCCGAAGACGUGAUGCGGACCGGAUUAAGAGUAGGGAAGUGUGUGAGCCAUGCGUCAAGAAAAGCCGCUAUUGUUUUACUUAAGCCCGUACCGUAAACCGACGCAGGUGGAUGAGGAGAGAAUCCUAAGGCCGACGGGAGAAGCAUUGUUAAGGAACUCGGCAAAAUGACUCCGUAACUUCGGGAGAAGGAGUGCCAGCGAGAGCUGGCCGCAGAGAAUUGGCCCAAGCAACUGUUUAGCAAAAACACAGGUCUAUGCAAAACCGUAAGGUGAAGUAUAUGGGCUGACGCCUGCCCGGUGCUGGAAGGUUAAGAGGAGAGGUUAGCGGUAACGCGAAGCUUUGAAUUUAAGCCCCAGUAAACGGCGGCCGUAACUAUAACGGUCCUAAGGUAGCGAAAUUCCUUGUCGGGUAAGUUCCGACCCGCACGAAAGGCGUAAUGAUUUGGGCACUGUCUCAACAAUGCACCCGGUGAAAUUGAAAUACCAGUGAAGAUGCUGGUUACCUGCGCCAGGACGGAAAGACCCCAUGGAGCUUUACUCCAGCUUGAUACUGGGAUUCGGUAUUGCAUGUACAGGAUAGGUGGGAGGCUAGGAAGUGAUAACGCCAGUUGUCACGGAGCCGCUGUUGGGAUACCACCCUUGCAGUAUUGGAUUUCUAACCAGCGACCAUGAACUGGUCGGGGGACAAUGUCAGGUGGGGAGUUUGACUGGGGCGGUCGCCUCCGAAAGGGUAUCGGAGGCGCUCAAAGGUUCCCUCAGAAUGGACGGAAACCAUUCGAAGAGUGCAAAGGCAGAAGGGAGCUUGACUGCGACACCGACGGGUGGAGCAGGUACGAAAGUAGGACUUAGUGAUCCGGUGGUAUAAAGUGGGAUUGCCAUCGCUCAACGGAUAAAAGCUACCCUGGGAUAACAGGCUUAUCACUCCCAAGAGUUCACAUCGACGGAGUGGUUUGGCACCUCGAUGUCGGCUCAUCGCAUCCUGGGGCUGAAGUAGGUCCCAAGGGUUGGGCUGUUCGCCCAUUAAAGCGGUACGCGAGCUGGGUUCAGAACGUCGUGAGACAGUUCGGUCCCUAUCCGGCGUGGGCGUAGGAUAUUUGAGAGGAGCUGUCCUUAGUACGAGAGGACCGGGAUGGACUGGCCGCUGGUGUAUCUGUUGCAUACCAAAUGCAUGGCAGAGUAGCCAAGCCGGGACGGGAUAAACGCUGAAGGCAUCUAAGCGUGAAGCCCCCCUCAAGAUGAGAUAUCCCUACGUAAGUAGUAAGACCCCUUGAAGACGACGAGGUAGAUAGGUCAGAGGUGGAAGUACAGUAAUGUAUGGAGCUGACUGAUACUAAUCGGUCGAGGGCAUGACC